This 2594-nucleotide long non-coding RNA is filed under the name Homo sapiens (human). RNAcentral describes it as "HSALNT0231279". Lineage: Eukaryota; Metazoa; Chordata; Mammalia; Primates; Hominidae. The record is from RNAcentral.
AUUAGCAAUAACUUAACCUAAAGAAAAAUAUUCUAAUAGCAAACCUUAAGUGCUUAGUUUGUGCCAGUUAUUAUUUUAAGCAAUUUUUAUACAUUAUGUCAUUUCAUCCUUACAACAACCCCAUAUGCUAGGAACUAGUUAUAUUCCCAUUUUAUAUAUGAGGAAAUGAGGUACAGAGAAAAUUUAAUGAUUUGCAAGGUUACCACCACUGUUAAGUACUGGAAAAUUUGAACCCAUGUAGCCUGUCUCUUGUACUACUAUACUUUGUAGGGACUCCAAAUACAAUCUUACUCGUUUAAUGCUUAACAACAGUAGAAUUUAUAUUGGUUAGGUAAAUUACAGACCUCCUCAGUUUUACUUAAUAGAAUUAUUUGUAAAACUAGCUUAUUUAUGAGACAGAGUCUUGUUCUGUCACCCAAGCUGGAGUGCAGUGGCACAAUCUCAGGUCACUGCAACCACCGCCUCCCAUGUUCAAACAAUUCUCCUGCCUCAGCCCCCAGAGUAGCUGGGAUUACAAGUGUGUGCCACCACGCCCAGCUCAUUUUUGUAUUUUUAGUAGAGACUGGGUUUUACCACGUUGGCCAGGCUGGUCUUGAACUCCUGACCUCAAGUGAUCUGCCCUCCUCGGCCUCCCAAAGUGCUGGGAUUACAGGUGUGAGCCACCACACCUGGCCAAAACUAGUUUAUAUACGGACCAGGUGAAUGGUCCAUAUAUAAAUCAUAAAUGAUUCCUCAACACUCAUGAGUGAAAAAAGUAUGAAAUAAUCCCUGUCAUACUUACAUUUGCCUGUGAGUACUUCAUGGCAAAUGUCUUAAUCUGUUUGAUGUAGAUGUUGUUGUAGAACUGAAUGAGGUCUCCCCUCUCCUCUUCUUCCAUGUCACUGUUGGCACCUGUGAGGCGAGUAGGUGUGGGAGGAGCACUGCUGGGCUGUGGAACUGGCAAGGUGCUGCUUGACCUCAUAACUGGACUGGAGUCUCUACUGGCUGCAGCCAGGAGAACAAAGGCUGUCAGUACAAAGGCUGCUAAUAUUGACUGUUUUAAUUUUUUAAAAGUAGGAGAAAGGGAACAGCUACCUGCACUACUUGCUAAUAACAGUGAAUAGGCACUCUGUUCUUCACACCAAAAAGCAAAGCUCAGCUAGGAUAUUAACUUUCUCCCUAUGCCAUAACCAUAGCAAGGGCUUUCUGAGUAGUGUCCAUUAAUAAGUUACACCAAAUUUUCUAGGACCUAAGCCCUGUACUAAGUGGUACAAAGCAACAGGCAGGGGAUGGUAUUUCCAUAGCAUGGUUCCAAUUGACAUAUCAGACCUUUCUGGAACUCAGGCAAGCAGAUUCCUCCCUGAAAGCUCUAAUUCUCCUGGAGAAAAAUGUUACAUAAUAUGUGCCCCAAAGCUAUGUAAUGGACAGUUUUGCCAGCUAGAAUAUGGUUUACUGAUCUAUAAAACACUUUCAUAGUUUCUAUAGUUAUUUCAUUUAGUAAUGCUUAGUUACUUCUUCAAGGCCUAAAAAGUAAGAAAAGCUCCUAAUUUUGUCUUGUAGUUCACAAAGAUCCCACUUACUUCUAUCUUUGUUUAGUUCUGUUGGAGAAUUCUGAUGGCUUCUGCUAUCACUGCUGCCAGAAUUUCUUCUUUUUCUUUUCCCUUUUAUCAAAACACUUCUAUACACCUUUAGAGAAACAAUGAGAAGGGGACAUAAACUAGUAUUUGUUGAGCACACCCUUGGUGAUAGGACCUUCACAUAUGUUACUUGGUUUUCACAAUAACCUGUAUAGCAAUAGUUGUCCUCAGAACAGGUUGAGAAACAUAACUCAAAUUAUAACAGAUCCAGGAUUCAAUCAGAGCCCAUCUAGCAUCACAUGCCAAGUACUACCUGCAGUACUACACUGCAGUGACAGCACCCAACCAUAAUGUCAAGUCAUUCUAAGUAAGAUACACAGAUCUGGCCGAUUUGCCUCUCAGAGAUGAAUGGUAAUAAAGGCAAAGUGGGUUUUAAAUUUCCAUGUGACAUUCUGUUGGUUAAACCUACAGUAUGUUUACUAAACCAGAAUGAAAGGUGACAUAGAAACCAAGUAACUUCUUAAUUCCUAUCUUGUGAUUUUUCUGAAUUAAGAAGGCAAUCAAAUAUUUAACAUUGUUGCCUUUUGAGGAAAAGAGACCUUAAUCAACAUGUGACAUCAAGAAUAAAGAUUAAAGUAGAAACUUCCCUUAAGUAGAGUCCCAGGUGUUUAUCUUGGAAAAAAGGCCACAGAGUCAACUAUGGUUAAUUUUUUGUAUUCAUCACAGACUUUAAGCUUUAUUUUUCAGCCCAUAGAGAAAAUGUAGUUACCUGGCUCCGGGCCUGCGGCUGAGUCCUAUAACAACGCAUAAUGUUCUGGAAGGACUUAUCUUCUUUUGUGACCUGGCAAACAAUAAGAGUGCUCUGAGAGACAUGGCAACUACCACCAUAAUAGUGUGAGGAGCUCUGUGAACCUGCUGCCCAGUAAAAGGGGUGAAAAUUAUAUAAAAGCUAUUUAAAGUCUCUGGAAAUGGUAUUAACGGCAUAUAGCAAAUGAAGAUACAUCGAUUCAAGAAUAUCUAUUAAAAUUCAAUAAAAAC